CUUACUGCCAUCCAUGGGAGAAAAUGUUAGAGGAAGAGUAAGGGAUUCAGCCAUGGGCAGAAGUCUAGGAGACAUUAGGGAAAGAUUCAGCUGAGCACAGAGAGCCAUACAAUGCAACUAUCUCUGGGACUUAUGUUCGGAAGAAGCCAGACUACCUUAGAGGGUUAAGAAUAGAUCCCAUUCUCCAAACUAGGCUGCUUUGUCUGGCCUCAAUAGGAGAGGAUGUGUCUAGUCCUGCAGGGACUUAAUGUGGGUUGGUACAAAUCGGAGACCUGCCACUUCUCUGAAGAAAUAGAGAGCUGUGUCUUUCCCCAAUGAGCCUCAAGAAACUGGGAUUUAUGAAACUGAAAAGCUCCUGUAAAGCAAAGGACACUGUCGUCAGAACAAAAUGACAACCUACAGACUGGGAAAGGAUCUUCACCAACCCUAUGUCUGACAGAGGGCUGAUAUCCAGAAUAUAUAAAGAACUAAAGAUGUUAAAAGGCAAAAAAAUCAAGCAAUCCAAUUAAAAAUGGGGUACAGAGCUAAACAGAAUUCUCUGUAGAGGAAUAUAGAAUGGCAGAGAAACACCUAAAGAGAUGCUCAACAUCCUUAGCCAUUAGAGAGAUGCAAAUCAAAACGACCCUGAGAUUACACCUUACACCCAUCAGAAUGGCUAAGAUCAAAAACUCAAGUGACAACACAUGCUGGAGAGGUUGUGGAGAAAGAGGGACUCUCCUCCAUUGCUGGUGGGAAUGUAAACUUAUACAACCACUGUGUAAAUCAAUCUGGCACUUUCUCAGACAAUUAGGAAUAGUGCUACCUCAAGAUCCAGCUAUACCACUCCUAGGCAUAUAUCAAAAGAAGUUCAAGUACACGACAAGGAUGUUUGCUCAACCAUGUUCAUAUCAGCUUUAUUCAUAAUAGCCAGAACCUAGAAACAACCCAGAUGCCCAUCAACAGAGGAAUGGAUACAGAAAUUGUGGUACAACUACACAAUGGAAUAUUACUCAGCAAUUAAAAACAAGGAAAAUCAUGAAUUUUGCAGGCAAAUGGUAGGAUCUAGAAAAGAUCAUCCUGAGUGAGGUAUCCCAGGAGCAGAAAGAUACACACAGUAUAUACUCACUUAUAUAGACCUAUAAGAUAAGAUGAACAUAAUAACAUAUGUGCACCUAAAGAAGAUAAACAAGAAAGAGGACCCCGGAUAAGACAAUCAAUCCUCACUUAGAAAGACAAAUAGGAUGGACAUGGGAAGUAGGAGAAAACAAGUAACAGCACAGGAGCCUACCACAGAGGGCCUCUGAAAGUCUCUACCUAGCAGUGUAUCAAAGCAGAUGCUGAGACUCAUAACCAAACCUUCGCCAGAGUGCAGGGAAUCAUAUGAAAGAAGGGGGAGUUAGUAUGACCUAGAGAGGACAGGAGCUCCACAAGGACCAAAUAUAUCAGGGCACAUGGUCUUCUAUGAGACUUUCUCCAACCAAGGACCAUGUAUGGAUAUAACCUAGAACCCCGGAUGUAGCCCAUGGUAGCUCAGUAUCCAAGUGGGUACUCUAGUAAGGGGAACAGGAUUAUUUCUGACAUGAUCUCAAUGACUGGCUCUUUGACAUCCCCACCACCCACCCUGAGGGAGGAGCAGGCUUGCGAGGCCACAGAUAAGGAUAUUGCAGCCAGUCCUGAAGAUACUUGAUAGGCUAGGGUCAGAUGGAAGGGGAAGAGGACCUCCCCUAUCAGUAGACUUGGAAGGGGGCAGGGAGGAGAUGAGGGAGGGUGGAAUUGAAGGGAAAGAGGGAGGGGUCUAUGGUACAAAGUGAAUGACCUGUGAUUAAAAUAAAAAAUAAAAUAAAAAGAUCCUUUCUAUUGACUACUGACUUUCCCUCAUAGAGAGAGUGAGAGGGGUCUAGACUUUGCCUUAAGAUUCCAGCCACUUCUUCUGGCAACUUCCAACAGACUUUAAUGGAUCCUGUUCAUAACUGCACAUAACUGAGCCUGGGGUCUCGGGAAUUAGCUCAGACUGUGGAGAGAAAUGUGCAGCUACAAGAGAAAUCAUCACUUACCCUGAGAUAAGUCUUAGUGAUGUGCCUCCUACAACUUUGAAGUAAGCCCAAUAAAAUCAUAGGUUCCCCCCUAAAAUAAUUUUACUUAAUCACAAAGCAAUUUCUAGCUAUUAUGAGGUCAAAUAAUAUUGAAAUUCAUCUUCUUUCACAUCAACCCUUCUAGAAUGUAUUUUUUUCUUUUAUAUUUAAACUUUUUUUUUUUACAUUGCAUGUAUCUAUACGUUAGAGUGGUACUAUGAAUUCUGUGUCUAAUGUAAAAACAAUGAAUUUAAUUGGGCAUAUCUGUCCAUUCAAGUGGUCACCAUCAGUGUUGUCACAACAUUUAAAGGGUACUCUUUGCACACUUUGAAACAUCUAAGACAGGAUUGUGAUCAGAGGAUUGCUCUACAGAGAUCAUCUACCAAAACUUAAGCUUUUCUUUCACUGAAAUUAUAUAACUUUUCAUCAACUUAUCUCAAUCCCUCCCACCCUUCUUUCUGUUUUCAUGAAUUCAGUUCUUUAAGAUUCCACCAAUAAGCAAGAUUUUAUGGUUUUGGUAUUUUUGUGUUUGGUUUGUUUUAGUUAGUUCAUUGUACUUCUAGGAUCAUCCAUGAAACCAAAAAUGUCAGAGACCCAGACUCUUAAUAAUUAGGUAAUAUCCCAUUGUGUAGUGUAUAUUCAGAUAUAUAUUUUAUACCUUGUUCGUCUUUUAAUCAUUUCUCUAUCUUUUCGUUUCUUCUCCAUUUUAAUCUCCAAAUGGGAAAAUAACUCAUACAUUAUUCUACAAUUUAAAAGUUACAUUACCGCAUUUUAUGUGUAAACACUUAUA
Long non-coding RNA from Meriones unguiculatus (Mongolian gerbil), 2841 nucleotides. RefSeq lists it as uncharacterized. The record is from RefSeq and is a predicted model, not a curated record. Lineage: Eukaryota; Metazoa; Chordata; Mammalia; Rodentia; Muridae. The transcript has 3 exons.